UCUCCGUUGGUGAACCAGCGGAGGGAUCAUUACAGGACUCGCAAGACUCCUACAACCCUGUGAACUAAACUAUAAUCACGUUGCUUCGGCGGGUGUCUCGGAGGGGGCUCUCCCUCCCCGAGACGCUAAACCCGCCUGCAGCCUACUAUACUCUGUCUCUUUGCGUUGGCAUCUCGAGUACAAUCAAACAAGUUAAAACUUUCAACAACGGAUCUCUUGGUUCUG
This 225-nucleotide unclassified non-coding RNA is filed under the name plant metagenome. RNAcentral describes it as "partial contains small subunit ribosomal RNA, internal transcribed spacer 1, and 5.8S ribosomal RNA". The record is from RNAcentral.